GUUGUUUUUCCGAAAAUCAAUUACGAAUGGCUUGAUUUUGUGUUGUAUUGACCUUAUCAGCUUUCUUCACUUUUUUCGAGUCUUUCUUAAUGCACUUUUCGGUUAACAAGUCAACAUCAAUUUCUUUUGUUGUAAAAGAGUAUUCGGAAGGUGGCUUUCUUUUCGGAGAAAGUGUUUAUAGCCCUAUACUUCUACAAUCGGAGAGAUUGAGGUCUGCAGCGUAGAUCCUUCGGGGUUAGAUACACUUGUGCUAAGUUGUAGCUUUUCAUAGACAACUUGUUGACUAUGUUUAGUCUUGCGGCUUACUCGCUUGUGCUAUUUUACCUAC
Molecule: ribosomal RNA, 328 nt
Filed under: uncultured Neocallimastigales
Lineage: Eukaryota; Fungi; Neocallimastigomycota; Neocallimastigomycetes; Neocallimastigales
Description: partial large subunit ribosomal RNA
Source: RNAcentral